Molecule: transfer RNA, 69 nt
Filed under: Xenophthalmus pinnotheroides
Lineage: Eukaryota; Metazoa; Arthropoda; Malacostraca; Decapoda; Xenophthalmidae
Description: tRNA-Met
Source: RNAcentral
UAAAAGAUAAGCUAAUUUAAGCUAACGGGCUCAUACCCCGUAAAUGAAAGCUACUUCUUUCUCUUUUUA